GUCUCGGUAGUUGGUAGAGCGGAAGAUUGAAGAUCUUCGCGUCGGUGGUUCAAAUCCACUCUGAGGCACCA
RNAcentral lists this transfer RNA (71 nucleotides) under Vibrio parahaemolyticus. RNAcentral describes it as "tRNA-OTHER". It matches the Rfam family "tRNA". From Rfam's summary of the family: Transfer RNA (tRNA) molecules are approximately 80 nucleotides in length. Lineage: Bacteria; Pseudomonadati; Pseudomonadota; Gammaproteobacteria; Vibrionales; Vibrionaceae. The record is from RNAcentral.